GCCUACGUGGUGUAGUGGUCAGCACGCUGGGCGCGUAUUCCAGAGGUCCGUGGUUUGAGUCCCGGCGAAGGUG
This 73-nucleotide transfer RNA is filed under the name Stegodyphus mimosarum. It matches the Rfam family "tRNA". Rfam says of the family: Transfer RNA (tRNA) molecules are approximately 80 nucleotides in length. Their secondary structure includes four short double-helical elements and three loops (D, anti-codon, and T loops). Further hydrogen bonds mediate the characteristic L-shaped molecular structure. tRNAs have two regions of fundamental functional importance: the anti-codon, which is responsible for specific mRNA codon recognition, and the 3' end, to which the tRNAs corresponding amino acid is attached (by aminoacyl-tRNA synthetases). tRNAs cope with the degeneracy of the genetic code in two manners: having more than one tRNA (with a specific anti-codon) for a particular amino acid; and 'wobble' base-pairing, i.e. permitting non-standard base-pairing at the 3rd anti-codon position. Lineage: Eukaryota; Metazoa; Arthropoda; Arachnida; Araneae; Eresidae. The record is from Rfam by way of RNAcentral.